UAGUAACGGCGAGUGAAGCGGGAUGAGCUCAAAUUUAAAAUCUGGCUGGUUUACUAGUCCGAAUUGUAGUUUAAAGAAGCGUUUUCGGUGGCAGCCUGGGUAUAAAUCCUUUGGAACAGGGUAUCAUAGAGGGUGAGAAUCCCGUCUUUGACUCAGUGCAUGCUACUAUGUGAUACGUUUUCAAAGAGUCGAGUUGUUUGGGAAUGCAGCUCAAAAUGGGUGGUAAAUUUCAUCUAAAGCUAAAUAUUGGCGAGAGACCGAUAGCGAACAAGUACCGUGAGGGAAAGAUGAAAAGAACUUUGAAAAGAGAGUUAAACAGUGCGUGAAAUUGUUGAAAGGGAAACGCUUGACACCAGUCAUGCGAGCGGAAAAUCAGUCUUUUGCAGUGGGGAGUUGUGUGGGUUCGGACCGCAAGGCCGGCCUGCGCUGCAUCUCUGCUGUAAGUGAUGCACUUUUUCGUUUGCAGGCCAACAUCAGUUUCUUCUGCUGGACAAAACUCUUGAGAAGGUGGCAGCUUAGGCUGUGUUAUAGCUCUUGAGCGAUACAGUGGAGGGGACUGAGGUUUUCGCAGCGCGUGCUCUCGGGCAAGGCUGAUUGGGUGCUAUGGGAUCGUUCGGUGUACAAUGCAUGCAUUUUGCGCCGUGUCUUUUCUAUACUCGCUCAACUCGGCUCUUCCGCGCUUAGGAUGUUGGCUUAAUGGUUUUAAUCGACCCGUCUUGAAACACGGACCAAGGAGUCUAACAUAUAUGCAAGUGUUUGGGUGGCAAACCCAUGCGCGUAAUGAAAGUGAACGUAGGUGCGAUCCGCAAGGUGCAGCAUCGACCGAUCUUGAUAUUUUUGGAUAGAUUUGAGUAAGAGCAUAUAUGCUGGGACCCGAAAGAUGGUGAACUAUGCCUGAAUAGGGUGAAGCCAGAGGAAACUCUGGUGGAGGCUCGUAGCGAUUCUGACGUGCAAAUCGAUCGUCAUUUGGGUAUA
Molecule: ribosomal RNA, 975 nt
Filed under: Mortierella alpina
Lineage: Eukaryota; Fungi; Mortierellomycota; Mortierellomycetes; Mortierellales; Mortierellaceae
Description: partial large subunit ribosomal RNA
Rfam family: Eukaryotic large subunit ribosomal RNA
Source: RNAcentral